AUACGGAGGGUGCAAGCGUUACUCGGAAUCACUGGGCGUAAAGCGCGCGCAGGCGGUCUUUUAAGUUGGAUGUGAAAGCCUACGGCUCAACCGUAGAACUGCAUCCAAAACUAUUAGACUAGAGUGUGGGAGAGGAAGAUGGAAUUAGUUGUGUAGGGGUAAAAUCCGUAGAGAUAACUAGGAAUACCAAAAGCGAAGGCAAUCUUCUGGAACACUACUGACGCUGAGGCGCGAAAGCGUGGGGAGCAAACAGGAUUAGAAACCCCGGUAGUCC
This 274-nucleotide ribosomal RNA is filed under the name uncultured bacterium. RNAcentral describes it as "partial 16S ribosomal RNA". It matches the Rfam family "Bacterial small subunit ribosomal RNA", at positions 523 to 796 of the family's 1533-position model. The record is from RNAcentral.